GAUGAACGCUGGCGACGUGCUUAACACAUGCAAGUCGAACGGAAAGGCCCAAGCUUGCUUGGGUACUCGAGUGGCGAACGGGUGAGUAACACGUGGGUGAUCUGCCCUGCACUUCGGGAUAAGCCUGGGAAACUGGGUCUAAUACCGGAUAGGACCACGUCUUGGAUGUUGUGGUGGAAAGUUUUUUCGGUGUGGGAUGAGCUCGCGGCCUAUCAGCUUGUUGGUGGGGUAAUGGCCUACCAAGGCGUCGACGGGUAGCCGGCCUGAGAGGGUGUACGGCCACAUUGGGACUGAGAUACGGCCCAGACUCCGACGGGAGGCAGCAGUGGGGAAUAUUGCACAAUGGGCGCAAGCCUGAUGCAGCGACGCCGCGUGGGGGAUGACGGCCUUCGGGUUGUAAACUCCUUUCGCUAGGGACGAAGCGUUUUUGUGACGGUACCUGGAGAAGAAGCACCGGCUAACUACGUG
This 468-nucleotide ribosomal RNA is filed under the name uncultured bacterium. RNAcentral describes it as "partial 16S ribosomal RNA". It matches the Rfam family "Bacterial small subunit ribosomal RNA", at positions 28 to 507 of the family's 1533-position model. The record is from RNAcentral.